CACCGUCUUGGUCCUGGACUUACUAUUGUUUUUGGCCACUAUUACACAUGCAAGCCUCCACACCCCCGUGCCCAGCCCCAGAAGUCUACCCCAAGACUAGACCAGGAGAUGAUAUCAGGCACAACCCCACCUUUAGCCCACGACGUCUAGCCCCGCCACACCCCCACGGACCUCAGCAGUGAUAAACAUUGAGCAAUAGGCCCAUAUAUUAAGCCUGACUCAGCCAUGGCCAUCCAGGGCCGGUAAACUCCGUGCCAGCCACCGCGGUUAUACGAAGAGCCCAAAACAAUCACCCCACGGCAUAAAAUGUGACUAGAACUUAACAACAAAGAAGCCCUAAACCCUAACUUUAAAGCUGUAAAAAGCAUAUGUCCACUGGAAUCCCACCGAGUUUCUACUACUGCACGCUUUGACCUCACGAAAACUGAGACAUAAACUAGGAUUAGAUACCCUACUAUACUCAGCCAUAAACCAAGAUGUUUCCCCAUGCCACUAUCUGCCAGAGAACUACAAGUGAAAAACUUCAAACUCUAAGGACUUGACGGUGCCCCACACCGGCCUAGAGGAGCCUGUCCUUUAAUCGAUACUCCACGCUUUACCCGACCCCCCCUAGCCCCCAGCCUAUAUACCGCCGUCGCCAGCCCACCUAUUGAUAGAAACAAGAGUCGGCACAACAGCAUCUCGCUAACACGUCAGGUCAAGGUGUAGCUAAUGGGGCGGACAGAGAUGGGCUACAUUUACUGACCCCAGUAAACAUUCAACCACAGGCCACAUGAAAUAUAAGGCUAACAGGCGGAUUUAGCAGUAAACUCUGGGGUAAGACUUACCCAGUUGAACCCCGCUCUGGGGCGCGUACACACCGCCCGUCACCCUCCUCAACAUACAUACAAUAAACCCCAUAGAAAUAACCACCACACAUCAGAUGAGGCAAGUCGUAACAUGGUAAGCUUACUGGAAAGUGAGCUUGGCCUAACC
RNAcentral lists this non-coding RNA (975 nucleotides) under Homonota fasciata (South American marked gecko). RNAcentral's name for it is "12S rRNA". It matches the Rfam family "Bacterial small subunit ribosomal RNA". Lineage: Eukaryota; Metazoa; Chordata; Lepidosauria; Squamata; Phyllodactylidae. The record is from RNAcentral.